Salmo salar (Atlantic salmon) is the source of this 58-nucleotide non-coding RNA. Lineage: Eukaryota; Metazoa; Chordata; Actinopteri; Salmoniformes; Salmonidae. The record is from Rfam.
UGGCUCAGUUGGUAGAGCAUGGUGUUUGCAACGCCAGGGUUGUGGGUUCGAUACCCAC